CCUACGGGAGGCAGCAGUCGAGAAUCAUUCACAAUGGGGGAAACCCUGAUGGUGCGACGCCGCGUGGGGGAAUGAAGCUCUUCGGAUUGUAAACCCCUUUCAUGUGGGAGCAAAUCAAAAAGAUAGUACCACAAGAGGAAGAGACGGCUAACUCUGUUCCAGCAGCCGCGGUAAUACAGAGGUCUUAAGCGUUGUUCGGCAUCACUGGGCGUAAAGCGUGCGUAGGCUGUUUCGUAAGUCGUGUGUGAAAGGCUCGGGCUUAACCCGCGGACGGCACAUGAUACUGCGAGACUAGAGUUAUGGAGGGGGAACCGGAAUGCUCGGUGUAGCAGUGAAAUGCGUAGAUAUCGAGAAGAACACUGGUGGCGAAGGCAGGUUACUGGACAUUAACUGACGCUGAGGCACGAAGGCCAGGGGAGCGAAAGGGAUUAGAUACCCCUGUAGUC
Molecule: ribosomal RNA, 446 nt
Filed under: uncultured bacterium
Lineage: Bacteria
Description: partial 16S ribosomal RNA
Rfam family: Bacterial small subunit ribosomal RNA
Source: RNAcentral